Molecule: ribosomal RNA, 468 nt
Filed under: uncultured bacterium
Lineage: Bacteria
Description: partial 16S ribosomal RNA
Rfam family: Bacterial small subunit ribosomal RNA
Source: RNAcentral
GACGAACGCUGGCGGCGUGCUUAACACAUGCAAGUCGAACGGAAAGGCCCUGCUUUUGUGGGGUGCUCGAGUGGCGAACGGGUGAGUAACACGUGAGUAACCUGCCCUUGACUUUGGGAUAACUUCAGGAAACUGGGGCUAAUACCGGAUAGGAGCUCCUGCUGCAUGGUGGGGGUUGGAAAGUUUCGGCGGUUGGGGAUGGACUCGCGGCUUAUCCGCUUGUUGGUGGGGUAGUGGCUUACCAAGGCUUUGACGGGUAGCCGGCCUGAGAGGGUGACCGGCCACAUUGGGACUGAGAUACGGCCCAGACUCCUACGGGAGGCAGCAGUGGGGAAUAUUGCACAAUGGGCGGAAGCCUGAUGCAGCAACGCCGCGUGCGGGAUGACGGCCUUCGGGUUGUAAACCGCUUUCGCCUGUGACGAAGCGUGAGUGACGGUAAUGGGUAAAGAAGCACCGGCUAACUACGUG